UGGUGGAGCGAUUUGUCUGGUCAAUUCCGAUAACGAACGAGUCUCUAGCCUACUAAAUAGUUCGGGGACCCCCACAAAGGGGCCCCGCUCCAACUUCUUAGAGGGACAGGUGGCGUUUAGCCACACGAGAUUGAGCAAUAUCA
Molecule: ribosomal RNA, 143 nt
Filed under: uncultured eukaryote
Lineage: Eukaryota
Description: partial 18S ribosomal RNA
Rfam family: Eukaryotic small subunit ribosomal RNA
Source: RNAcentral